RNAcentral lists this non-coding RNA (105 nucleotides) under Succinatimonas hippei. Its description in RNAcentral is "TPP sequence". It matches the Rfam family "TPP riboswitch aptamer (THI element)". Rfam says of the family: Vitamin B(1) in its active form thiamin pyrophosphate (TPP) is an essential coenzyme that is synthesised by coupling of pyrimidine and thiazole moieties in bacteria. The previously detected thiamin-regulatory element, thi box was extended, resulting in a new, highly conserved RNA secondary structure, the THI element, which is widely distributed in eubacteria and also occurs in some archaea. Lineage: Bacteria; Pseudomonadati; Pseudomonadota; Gammaproteobacteria; Aeromonadales; Succinivibrionaceae. RNAcentral also lists the same sequence under 1 other name. The record is from RNAcentral.
AUCUGCUUGUCGGAGUGCCUUAAAUUUGAGGCUGAGAUUGCGUAAGCAAAAUCCGUUGUACCUGAUCAGGUUAAUUCCUGCGGAGGAAACAAGACUUCGACAUGC